RNAcentral lists this ribosomal RNA (956 nucleotides) under Salmonella enterica subsp. enterica serovar Typhimurium. Its description in RNAcentral is "partial 23S ribosomal RNA". It matches the Rfam family "Bacterial large subunit ribosomal RNA", at positions 528 to 1397 of the family's 2925-position model. The record is from RNAcentral. Lineage: Bacteria; Pseudomonadati; Pseudomonadota; Gammaproteobacteria; Enterobacterales; Enterobacteriaceae.
GGCGAGGGGAGUGAAAAAGAACCUGAAACCGUGUACGUACAAGCAGUGGGAGCACAGGUUUACCUGUGUGACUGCGUACCUUUUGUAUAAUGGGUCAGCGACUUAUAUUCUGUAGCAAGGUUAACCGUAUAGGGGAGCCGGAGGGAAACCGAGUCUUAAUUGGGCGUUAAGUUGCAGGGUAUAGACCCGAAACCCGGUGAUCUAGCCAUGGGCAGGUUGAAGGUUGGGUAACACUAACUGGAGGACCGAACCGACUAAUGUUGAAAAAUUAGCGGAUGACCUGUGGCUGGGGGUGAAAGGCCAAUCAAACCGGGAGAUAGCUGGUUCUCCCCGAAAGCUAUUUAGGUAGCGCCUCGUGAAUUCAUCUCCGGGGGUAGAGCACUGUUUCGGCUAGGGGGCCAUCCCGGCUUACCAACCCGAUGCAAACUGCGAAUACCGGAGAAUGUUAUCACGGGAGACACACGGCGGGUGCUAACGUCCGUCGUGAAGAGGGAAACAACCCAGACCGCCAGCUAAGGUCCCAAAGUCAUGGUUAAGUGGGAAACGAUGUGGGAAGGCCCAGACAGCCAGGAUGUUGGCUUAGAAGCAGCCAUCAUUUAAAGAAAGCGUAAUAGCUCACUGGUCGAGUCGGCCUGCGCGGAAGAUGUAACGGGGCUAAACCAUGCACCGAAGCUGCGGCAGCGAACGUAUCACCCAAGACAACUUUACGGAGUUGACGAUUGACGGAGCGAAGCGACGUCAAAGCGUUCAUUAAAGUCGAGUUGGCUUAGGGAUACGUUCGUUGGGUAGGGGAGCGUUCUGUAAGCCUGUGAAGGUGUGUCGUGAGGCAUGCUGGAGGUAUCAGAAGUGCGAAUGCUGACAUAAGUAACGAUAAAGCGGGUGAAAAGCCCGCUCGCCGGAAGACCAAGGGUUCCUGUCCAACGUUAAUCGGGGCAGGGUGAGUCGACCCCUAAGGC